Molecule: long non-coding RNA, 391 nt
Organism: Diabrotica virgifera virgifera (western corn rootworm)
Lineage: Eukaryota; Metazoa; Arthropoda; Insecta; Coleoptera; Chrysomelidae
Exons: 2
Source: RefSeq, a predicted model, not a curated record
UACUCCCUGACAUACACUGGAAGGGAAAAAUUAAUCCUUAAAAAGGCAUGUAAUUCGAAAAAUAAAUCAUUUCUAUUUCAUCAAAUCAUCUCUUGGGUUUUUUGGAAAGAAACCACUUUUCUCCCUCCGGGAGUUUCAACAACCCUCAAAUCGCCGGCGAUACAACAACGAGGACCUUGUCAUCAGGGCUGCAACCACAUAACCAAGACUGCAACGACCAACAUCCGUAGGCCUGGUGGAAUACAGCACCUACAACCCCAGAGCCCGUUGCAGAACCAGCAGCAGUACCAUACGACAUCAAGAAGAUACCAUCAGCUACCAAAAGCCAUAAGUAUAAUCCAGAAUUGUUAGUUUUUGGCAAGAAUUUAAAUACAUUUGUUAAUGCAAUUUA